AUGAACAGUUGGCGUUGGCUCUUGGGGAAGCAGCUACAGUCAACCUGUUCAAGAGGUCGGUGUUUUUUCUGUCGAUCAGGAGCAAGGACUUCAUCCACUACUACCUGCGACGAUGUGUCAGGCGUUCAGAUGCAUUAUCUCCCAUGGGAGUUCAAUCAGCUCCUUGUUAAUGCAGUGAGGCAGGAAAUCAAGAAUCUGUACAAUAUCAACGUUCGAAAGGUCGUGCUGAUGGGCCCUCCCCCUGUUGGCUGUGCUCCUCACUUCCUUUCGGACUACGGCAGCCUAAAUGGGGAAUGCAUCGACUACAUCAACAACGUUGUGAUCGAGUUCAACUAUGGCCUGAGAUACAUGUCCAGAGAGUUCAUCCGCCAGUACCCAGACCCUGUGAUCAGUUACUGUGAUACAUUUGAGGGGUCAGUGGACAUACUAGAGAACCGUGUCCGCUAUGUUAAAUGGAGUGCUAAGUCUUCUCAUUUUGGUGGAACUGCAACGCGCAGGCUUUCUGACUACCACUGA
Molecule: ribosomal RNA, 516 nt
Filed under: Triticum aestivum (bread wheat)
Lineage: Eukaryota; Viridiplantae; Streptophyta; Magnoliopsida; Poales; Poaceae
Description: partial small subunit ribosomal RNA
Source: RNAcentral